GCGGAUUUAGCUCAGUUGGGAGAGCGUCAGACUGAAGUAUAACUUUGGUCUCAGUCAAUCUGAAGGUCCUGUGUUCGAUCCACAGAAUUCGCA
Transfer RNA from Nadsonia fulvescens var. elongata DSM 6958, 93 nucleotides. It matches the Rfam family "tRNA". From Rfam's summary of the family: Transfer RNA (tRNA) molecules are approximately 80 nucleotides in length. Their secondary structure includes four short double-helical elements and three loops (D, anti-codon, and T loops). The record is from Rfam. NCBI's taxonomy places the organism in Eukaryota, Fungi, Ascomycota, Dipodascomycetes, Dipodascales.